Molecule: unclassified non-coding RNA, 531 nt
Filed under: Bombus terrestris (buff-tailed bumblebee)
Lineage: Eukaryota; Metazoa; Arthropoda; Insecta; Hymenoptera; Apidae
Description: misc RNA ENSBTSG00005025115.1
Source: RNAcentral
CGCCCUCGUGUUGAGCGUCUCGUUCAGAUUGGUCACGUUAUUGUUGAUGUGGUUGUUGUUGAUAUUAUUGGUCGUGCGGGUCGAAUUGUUGUUGCUCGAAUGAUGAUUCGAGUUGUUUCCAUUGUUGUGCUUAUUGUGCUUGUGCAACACCAUAGCGACGAACAUUUUGGCCUCCUUUCCCGACCGGUUGGUCGUCAAACGAUUUAUCGUCCUUUCAGCGAUCCGCAAUUUCAUUCGUUGUCACGGUGCAUUCGCGUAAACUGAAACACCGUGAGCGCCGAUGCCGAUUCGUCCUCAGGGCUCUUAGGACGAAUCCAUCCGCUGCUCACGCACUGCUGCGUACACCCCCCGACAAAAAAGGCGAUCGGAGCACUUCACGGCGGGGGUGUUGCGUACUGAAUGACGGGGUGCGCGUAUACGUGUCUUGCGGAGCAGUCGCGCGUCGACUGAAGGCUCCCUUACGAGCAACGAAUUCACAUAGGAACGACAACGGCGACGCCACGACGCAACCAACCAACCCUUACCAGCCAG